AGUCCUUCAAAGCUGCUGUGCUGGACUGUCCAAUGAUGAUACAGAAACAGGCCGUCUGGUUUCUUUUCAUGAGGCUGUAACAUGUAGAUCAAAAGUAGAAGCAGCCAAACUGAGAUUUGGGCUGCUGUUCUCUUUCGGGGGGACAUUUGUGAACCUCUGUCUGAAUUCUCAGCCCACCUUUCUUCCAGUAGCCAACUCAAGCCGUGCCUGCCGGCUGAAGACCUCCGGCGUCUGCUGGAUCUCAUCACCGGUUGCCUGUUCCCAAUCCCCUGGAGCGCCUGAAAAAGAGGACCAGGACGGAGCAGGAGGCUUCCGAUAUAGAGCUGAUGGAGCCCUGGCUGACACGAUCAGAGUGGAUCCGAGAGAGGGUCCUGCAGGCCAGUUGCCAGGUGCUGGCUGCCUUCCAGGCCACGGCGAGUCUUCCGGAGGAUCCCUUCCAGAACAGAUCUUAGAGGACAGGUUGGUCCUCCGGCUUUCCGAGGCCCUUUCAAUAGGUUUUGUACUUUUCUUGGUAAGAUGGAGAAAAUCUGAAAGCCUAUGGUGCCCGGGUGGCCUUCCUAGCCCCAUAUACCUGGGAGAGCUCCAUUGA
This 589-nucleotide long non-coding RNA is filed under the name Pogona vitticeps (central bearded dragon). RNAcentral's name for it is "lncRNA (ENSPVIG00000014291.1)". Lineage: Eukaryota; Metazoa; Chordata; Lepidosauria; Squamata; Agamidae. The record is from RNAcentral.